UGUAAUAAUCAAACACAUCGUUUUCUUUCCUUUUUCAAAGAAGAAGUACUUAUUAUUAUCAUUACCAAAUAAUAUUUCAGUACCCAUUAGUCAGGAGGACUAGGCAGAGAUUCCAAAAACAUUAAUGGAAAUACAGUAGAGUCUCACUUAUCCAAGCCUUGCUUAUCCAAGCUUCUGGAUUAUCCAAGCCAUUUUUAUAGUCAAUGUUUUCAAUAUAUCAUGAUAUUUUGGUGCUAAAUUCGUAAAUACAGUAAUUACAACAUAACAUUACUGCAUAUUGAACUACUUUUUCUGUCAAAUUUGUUGUAAGACAUGAUGUUUUGGUGCUUAAUUUGUAAAAUCAUAAUCUAAUUUGAUGUUUAAUAGGCUUUUCCUUAAUCCCUCCUUAUUAUCCAAGAUAUUCGCUUAUCCAAGCUUCUGCCGGCCCAUUUAGCUUGGAUUAGUGAGACUCUACUGUAAUUAAUUUAAGAUUAAUGGAAGGUAUUUAUUGUUAAAAGAGUUAAAAUACCAGCAACAUUAUCAGUAUGAUCUAGGGGAUGGUGGGACAGUAUUUGUCCACAAGAAGCCAGAGAAAAAAUCUGCCAGAAGGCAAAGGUCUUUUUAAUAUUUAGGCAGAGCCUUGACUCUUAAUUCAUGGAGCAGAAGAUGGUUUUAAUGUAAUACCAUGUUCUUUUAUCUUUUUUGAUAAUUUUUAAAUAUGUAUUAAAGCGUUUUAACUUUGUACUCUUUGUAGAAUUGUUUAUUUAAUUGAAUUCUCUUCACUUUAGUAUUAAAGAUUUUAGCUAUACUUUGUUUCAAUUUAUUGUCAGAUGCAUUGGGUCCUGUGAUGAGAGAAAGACAAGAUAUCAAUAAAAUAAACAAUAAAUAAAUUCACCUCCUAGGUAACUGUGAUCUCAAGGAGUGCCCCAAUCUUUGCCAUCAAAGAAAGAUCCACAUCCUCUUUCCAAUAUCAGAGCCACAAUGUCAAACAGAGAAGACUGGGGCACUGUGGGGCUGGUGUAGGGAUGAAAGUCUCAAUCUACAGAAGCUACAUCACCCAGC
RNAcentral lists this long non-coding RNA (1041 nucleotides) under Anolis carolinensis (green anole). RNAcentral's name for it is "lncRNA (ENSACAG00000036799.1)". The record is from RNAcentral. Lineage: Eukaryota; Metazoa; Chordata; Lepidosauria; Squamata; Anolidae.